Molecule: long non-coding RNA, 419 nt
Filed under: Vigna radiata
Lineage: Eukaryota; Viridiplantae; Streptophyta; Magnoliopsida; Fabales; Fabaceae
Description: long non-coding RNA (VRAD_LNC013341)
Source: RNAcentral
AAUAAAAUAAAAUACAAAGAAAAAUAAAAGAAAUUCUAAAUGAAAAAGGAGAGUAGACGGAGAAAAUGAAUGUGUAUGGAAGAAAUAAAUGUGGAUGAAGGAGAUGAGAAAAAUGAUAUGGAUGUAAGUAUGAGUAUAUAGAAGAUGAGUGUAAUACAGAUGAAGAAUAUGAGUAUGGAUGAAGAAGAUAAGUGUGAUCGAAAGAGGUGAGUAUAAAAAAAAGAUGAGUAUUUAAGAAUGAGAUGAAUGUGAAAAGACUUAUAUAAACAAUAAAUUAAUUAUGUUGGAUUACAACAAUGGUCUCUGAAUAUAGAUAAUUAUAUAGAUAUAAAAAAAAAAUCUAGAAAACCUAUCUAUGUCAGUUCCUAUUCCACCCAAACAUCUACAUCUAACACUUUACACUUGAUUCAUUUAUUUUU